This is a long non-coding RNA of Capra hircus (goat), 1949 nucleotides long. RefSeq lists it as uncharacterized. The record is from RefSeq and is a predicted model, not a curated record. Lineage: Eukaryota; Metazoa; Chordata; Mammalia; Artiodactyla; Bovidae. The transcript has 3 exons.
AUAGGGCCUGCAGCCUUGCACUAACAUUUCUGAGCCCUGCAGUCCAGGCCAGGCUUUCCGCUCUCCCUGCUGGAGGCCCGCCAUCCUUAUUGAGUGUAUUUCCAAGAAAGCAGUUGACAGGCUUGGCAGUGCUAUUCCUGGAAAUGUUCAAUAGGCCAUCUUCUGGCAGGGCCGCCGCUGACGGAUGGGUUGGUCGGGGAGACCACGUGCUCAGCGCCCUCUCCACCCCCGCCUAUUCCCAGGUGCCUCCAAGCAGCAGCCGUCCCCAAAUACCUCGGGCUGUUAGCUGGCGGGGGCUGUGGGCCUCUGUGGAACUUGCUUCCUCCCCGGCAGGGCGGCUGCCAGCGGGCUUGCUGCUAAAUGAAGACAGGCGCCCUGUGACUAUAAAUUAUAACACACAUCAGCUCCAGCCGAUGCACCGCAUGUCCUGCAGAAGACUCCGCAGGGGACGCCUGGCCACUGCCAAAGGGCAUUCUGGACAGUGGCUCCUAUGGCAGCCGCAGGACAGAGGCCAAGCCUGCCGCUGGGCAGAGGAGCUCUGGCAGCUCCCAGAGGUUGGAGUUUCCUUCGGAUGCGGACCACGGCUUCUCUGCACUAUUGCCUUUGGCACCAGGUCCCCUGUAUUUUGCUGUGACCUUCCAUACCCUCCACUCAUCAGUGGCCCUGGUGUUGAAAUCUUCUUCUACUGACAGUACCUGAAAAAAAUCUGUUACUAAAAGUGUAUCCAUGCCUGAUGUCAAGAGGUAGAUAAUUCAAAGUGGGUUAAGAUUCUUCCUGGCACCUCCACUGCAGAAAGUGCGAAGACCUUCAUUCAAGCCUUAACUCUACCAUUUACAAGCUUAUGUCCUUGGACCACCUACCAAACCUCUCUGAACUUCACCUUUCUCCUCUGCAAAGCAAGAAUGACUCCAACCUCACAUCUCACUCUCUGCCUUGGGCAUGGGAGGCCCUGCAUAAAUGUUGAUACCCUUCCCAAAUAGUUCUGCUAUUAAUUAUACCCAGGAUCACACAAGAGUCUCUAUGGAAUCUCAGCAGAUUGAAACGAUUUUCUAGGAUAAUGACUCUCCACUGUUAGUAGGAACAGUUGCCAGCCAGUCUCAAUGCCUACACUCACUCAAGCAGCUAAAACUUCUAAGACUCCUCUCCAAUAAUAGGACUGUUCGCUUCCUCCCCUGCAAAGCAGUAUGCACCACACUUUGCUCGUUCUCAUGGCUUUCGGGAGGGGAAAACCUCAUCCCACAUAGAAAACCGAGUCACUGGCCUCUCGGGACUCUGGGUCCAGAGUUCAGCUGGAGGAACCAUCCAUGGAAAUGACAUCAUAUGGAGAGGCAGGAGUGCAAUGUGCAAAGUGAGGAGUCCAAAAACUUUAGAGGAAGCAAAAUGUAAGAAGCCGGGGGCGUGACUAUCCUAGCUUGGCAGUCGGACACUGUAUAGAUCUUCCCAAACUGAUUCCUUACCUUUUGCCCAGUACCUGCACUCCAUGGAGAUGUUUCACAGCUGGUACCUCCUUUUAUCUUUUCAAUCAUCCUGAGAAGUUGGCAAAUACUAUUAUGCCAGUUUUUUUUCAGAAGAAGAAACUGAGGAGAGAGUGCCCAGAUCACACGAACUAACACAGAAUGGAGCUCGGGCUUAACGUGGGGCUUCUGAUUCUAACACCUUUCUGCCACAUUCCCUGCCUCUCGUAUAGCUGGGGAAGAGGAAGACUCAAACAAUCUCCAGGGGAACAUAAGCUCAGUGUCACAGGGGGAAAGCACCGGACUGGAGUGCAUAUACGAGACCGGGCCUCUUUUCCCAGCCGUUAACUCUUGAGAUGUCCGUCUCCUUACCUCUGCAGGGAGCAGGCAGCAAUAAACGAUUCCAAGUUCCCUCUCGUGUUUCUGUUUCUUAAAUGUGUAUCUUUAGUUAUUUUAAUGUGUAACUCAGCUGCUGCUGCUACGUCGCUUCAGUCG